RNAcentral lists this non-coding RNA (246 nucleotides) under Oxobacter pfennigii. Its description in RNAcentral is "T-box sequence". It matches the Rfam family "T-box leader". From Rfam's summary of the family: Uncharged tRNA acts as the effector for transcription antitermination of genes in the T-box leader family. T-boxes are found upstream of many aminoacyl-tRNA synthetase genes and some amino acid biosynthetic genes usually in Gram-positive bacteria. The record is from RNAcentral. Lineage: Bacteria; Bacillati; Bacillota; Clostridia; Eubacteriales; Clostridiaceae.
AUUAAGACUAUGAAGGAUGAAAGUAGUUAUAUAAUAAAGACUGAAGAGAGCCGGUGGGUGGUGUAAACCGGUGUCUUAUGUAUAAUGAAGUACCCUCCGGAGUUGCAAACCGAAGUAACAGUAGGCUUUGACGGAUUCUUUCACCGUUAAAAGAAAGGAGAUAUCAGGUAAUUCCUCGUAUCUUAAUAAGCAGGGCUUUUAUUAGCCAAUUUGGGUGGUACCGCGAGAUAACCUCUCGUCCCUUUA